GUGAGGAAUAUUGGACAAUGGGCGCAAGCCUGAUCCAGCCAUGCCGCGUGCAGGAAGACGCAUCUAUGGUGUGUAAACUGCUUUUGUACGGGAAGAAACACUCCCUCGUGAGGGAGCUUGACGGUACCGUAAGAAUAAGGAUCGGCUAACUCCGUGCCAGCAGCCGCGGUAAUACGGAGGAUCCACGCGUUAUCCGGAAUCAUUGGGUUUAAAGGGUCCGUAGGCGGUUUAAUAAGUCAGUGGUGAAAGCCAAUCGCUCAACGAUGGAACGGCCAUUGAUACUGUUAGACUUGAAUUACAAGGAAGUAACUAGAAUAUGUAGUGUAGCGGUGAAAUGCUUAGAUAUUACAUGGAAUACCAAUUGCGAAGGCAGGUUACUACUUGUGGAUUGACGCUGAUGGACGAAAGCGUGGGGAGCGAACAGGAUUAGAAACCCUAGUAGUCC
RNAcentral lists this ribosomal RNA (445 nucleotides) under uncultured bacterium. Its description in RNAcentral is "partial 16S ribosomal RNA". It matches the Rfam family "Bacterial small subunit ribosomal RNA", at positions 354 to 796 of the family's 1533-position model. The record is from RNAcentral.